RNAcentral lists this long non-coding RNA (871 nucleotides) under Sinocyclocheilus grahami. Its description in RNAcentral is "lncRNA (ENSSGRG00000012413.1)". The record is from RNAcentral. Lineage: Eukaryota; Metazoa; Chordata; Actinopteri; Cypriniformes; Cyprinidae.
AAGCACCACUGAAAGAUAACAAAAUAUGUAAUGCUGCAAAAUGAAACUUACCUGAAGCAAAGUUGUACUUGACUUCUUUUAUAAAACAGCGUUAUAACUCCAAAUAUUGCGAACUCCCAGACCAACGUUUAAACAUUCUGAAGACAAGUAGCCUGGAUUUAUGAUGUGAGGCAGUUAAUUAAAAGCCGUUUAUUCAGCGUUUUGCAAUUUUAGCUAACCUUGGGGGUUUGCGCGCUGUUGCGAUGCCAUCAGACAGCCAAUCAGCGUUGUGGCAUUUGGCAUUUGGAUUCAGGUGAUUGGUUAAAAAAACUGGGCUGCAGAACUCGGCGUUUAGAUCGCGUGAUUUGCGUGAUCCUGCACUUGCUAAGCAAAUGAGGCUGAGAUGAAUGGGAAUGUCCAAGGUAUCAGCCGACCCUCCUCCUCUCUCCCGCCUCGGUCUCUGUUAAACAGAAUGCUGCUACAGUACUUCGUUGGCAGUGCCAACAGCUGAGGUCUGCUUCCUGAGUUUCCCUCCAGCCUGAGAGAGUUACAGGAACAGAAAGGAAGUGUGUGUUUGUGUGAAGGCAAGGGACAGUGUGUAAUGUACGUUUGUUAGAGAGAGCACAAGAAAAGAGAGAGAGAGAGAGAGACUAAGGAAUGCUGUGAUGUCACCAGUUAAGUCACACACAAAGGCAAGAAGGACACACAAGCACUCACUCUCCCUCUUAGUAAAGUCUGCCGUGGAGCGUUCGCACCCAGCUCGUGUCCCGUUUAUGGCUGCUAAUUAGUGAUGAGAGCUUGUGUGUGGUGAACGGACCGAGCUGGGCUUCAUCAUCUUUACCACCAUCUUCCUCGUUCUGAAGGACUGUUGCUGAAUCUCAGGAUAUAAUCA